Molecule: ribosomal RNA, 120 nt
Organism: Vulpes vulpes (red fox)
Lineage: Eukaryota; Metazoa; Chordata; Mammalia; Carnivora; Canidae
Source: Ensembl
GUCUAUGGCCAUACCACCCUGAACACGCUGGAUCUCGUCUGAUCUUGGAAGCUAAGCAGGGUUGGGCCUGGUUAGUACUUGGGUGGGAGACAUUUUAUAGAAAUGAAGAAUCAAAAGAGA